RNAcentral lists this unclassified non-coding RNA (312 nucleotides) under plant metagenome. RNAcentral describes it as "partial contains 5.8S ribosomal RNA, internal transcribed spacer 2, and large subunit ribosomal RNA". The stretch from base 1 to 105 matches the Rfam family "5.8S ribosomal RNA", at positions 50 to 154 of the family's 154-position model. The record is from RNAcentral.
GAAAUGCGAUAACUAAUGUGAAUUGCAGAAUUCAGUGAAUCAUCGAGUCUUUGAACGCACAUUGCGCCCUCUGGCAUUCCGGGGGGCAUGCCUGUCCGAGCGUCAUUACGCACCCUCAAGCCCGGCUUGUGUGAUGGGCCCCGGCGUCUCGUUCGCGAGACGGGCCCGAAAGGCAGCGGCGGCGUCGACCCGAUGAGCCCGAGCGUAUGGGGACUUCUGUCACACGUUCGCGGUGCGGACCGGCGCCUGCUUGACUUUUCUGAUUAUCCAGGUUGACCUCGGAUCAGGUAGGGAUACCCGCUGAACUUAAGC